Molecule: ribosomal RNA, 594 nt
Filed under: Triticum aestivum (bread wheat)
Lineage: Eukaryota; Viridiplantae; Streptophyta; Magnoliopsida; Poales; Poaceae
Description: partial small subunit ribosomal RNA
Source: RNAcentral
AUGAUACAAUGCGGGAGGAGAUCAACAUGUAGAGCAAGGUCUCCUGGUCCAAGUCCCCUGUCAGGAUGUGGUUCAACAUCAAGGGCAAGGCGCAGGAUUUCCAUGCGGAUAACGAUGCUACUACCCAAGGAUGGGACGAAGGUGAUUAACGGAGGACCAGCUGCUUGUAGAGGGACACAGGCGCUGCCAAGAAAAGCAGAAUUGGUACAGUUAAAGCAUUUGGACCAUGCUCCCCCCUCUCUCUCUCUUCAUACAUCAAAAUUGCAGCUACCUCUUUUCUUUCUUUGUUGCUGCUUGGUCAGAGCUCUUUUUAACUGCUAUGCCUCUUUUGCCAAAUAUAAAUAUAAACAAUCUACUUAUCCGAUUGUUUGUUGGAGCAGCCCAACUUAUCUGAUUGUUAGUUAUUAUGUUUAUGUUGUUCCUUAUGGGCCUACUUCAGAACGGUCGUUGAAGCGAAAUAUCGAUCAUGUUCGUAGAUCAGGGAAUGAAUUUGAUGUGUCACGCCUGACAAAAGCCCAAGAUUACAGAAUCUUUGUGUCGACGUGGAAUGUUGGUGGCCAAUGCCCAUCAAGGGGGUUAAAUUUAGAUGACUGA